GAUGAACGCUGGCGGCGUGCCUAAUACAUGCAAGUCGAGCGAACAGACGAGGAGCUUGCUCCUCUGACGUUAGCGGCGGACGGGUGAGUAACACGUGGAUAACCUAUCUAUAAGACUGGGAUAACUUCGGGAAACCGGAGCUAAUACCGGAUAAUAUAUUGAACCGCAUGGUUCAAUAGUGAAAGACGGUUUUGCUGUCACUUAUAGAUGGAUCCGCGGCGCAUUAGCUAGUUGGUAAGGUAACGGCUUACCAAGGCAACGGUGCGUAGCCGACCUGAGAGGGUGAUCGGCCACACUGGAACUGCGACACGGUCCAGACUCCUACGGGAGGCAGCAGUAGGGAAUCUUCCGCAAUGGGCGAAAGCCUGACGGAGCAACGCCGCGUGAGUGAUGAAGGUCUUCGGAUCGUAAAACUCUGUUAUUAGGGAAGAACAAAUGUGUAAGUAACUAUGCACGUCUUGACGGUACCUAAUCAGAAAGCCACGGCUAACUACGUG
This 497-nucleotide ribosomal RNA is filed under the name uncultured bacterium. RNAcentral describes it as "partial 16S ribosomal RNA". It matches the Rfam family "Bacterial small subunit ribosomal RNA", at positions 28 to 507 of the family's 1533-position model. The record is from RNAcentral.